Molecule: ribosomal RNA, 594 nt
Filed under: Hua sp. l LD-2019
Lineage: Eukaryota; Metazoa; Mollusca; Gastropoda; Semisulcospiridae
Description: partial 16S large subunit ribosomal RNA
Rfam family: Bacterial large subunit ribosomal RNA
Source: RNAcentral
UGAAUGAGUAUUAAAACUAAUAUUAAAUAUGAAAAAUUUUCUUCGAAAAAAAUAUUUAAAAAAAUUAAUUAACUAAAAGGAACUCGGCAAAUUUAGUUGCUUCGCCUGUUUAUCAAAAACAUGGCUCUCUGCCUAUGUAUAUAUAGAGAGUCGAGCCUGCCCAGUGAAUUUUUCAACGGCCGCGGUACUCUGACCGUGCAAAGGUAGCAUAAUCAUUUGCCUUAUAAUUGAAGGCUAGUAUGAAUGGUUUGACGAGAGCAACGCUGUCUCUUUUUUAUUUUCAAGAACUUAACUUUUAGGUGAAGAGGCCUAAAUUUUAUUGAAGGACAAGAAGACCCUGUCGAGCUUAAAAGAUAUUAUAGAAGUUUAUAUAUUUUUAAAUAAGUUUUCUAUUAAGCUUUUUGGUUGGGGCGACUAAGGAACAAAAAAAGCUUCUUGUUAAUAUAAAACGGUCACGUUUAGAUCCGGUAACAAUCGAUUAAAGAAAUUAGUUACCGCAGGGAUAACAGCAUAAUCUCUCUUGAGAGACCUAAUCGAAAGAGGGGGUUGUGACCUCGAUGUUGGACUAGAAUAUCCUAAAGAUGUAGAAGUCUU